ACGGGGAGCAGCAGGCGCGAAACCUUUACACUGCACGACUGUGCGAUAGGGGGAUCCCAAGUGCACAGGCAUAGCGCCUGUGCUUUUCGGUACCGUAAGGUGGUACCAGGAUAAGGGCUGGGCAAGACCGGUGCCAGCCGCCGCGGUAAUACCGGCAGCCCAAGUGAUGGCCGAUCUUAUUGGGCCUAAAGCGUCCGUAGCUGGCCGCGCAAGUCCAUCGGGAAAUCCACCUGCUCAACAGGUGGGCGCCCGGUAGAAACUGCGUGGCUUGGGACCGGAAGGCGCGACGGGUACGUCCGGGGUAGGAGUGAAAUCCCGUAAUCCUGGACGGACCGCCGAUGGCGAAAGCACGUCGCGAGGACGGAUCCGACAGUGAGGGACGAGAGCCAGGGUCUCGAACCGGAUUAGAUACCCGGGUAGUCCUGGCCGUAAACAAUGUCUGCUAGGUGUGGCUCCCACUACGAGUGGGUGCUGUGCCGUAGGGAAGCCGCUAAGCAGACCGCCUGGGAAGUACGUCCGCAAGGAUGAAACUUAAAUGAAUUGACGG
This 547-nucleotide ribosomal RNA is filed under the name uncultured archaeon. RNAcentral describes it as "bacterial SSU rRNA". It matches the Rfam family "Archaeal small subunit ribosomal RNA", at positions 325 to 871 of the family's 1478-position model. The record is from RNAcentral.